RNAcentral lists this small RNA (651 nucleotides) under uncultured fungus. RNAcentral describes it as "eukaryotic LSU rRNA". The stretch from base 213 to 367 matches the Rfam family "5.8S ribosomal RNA". Lineage: Eukaryota; Fungi. The record is from RNAcentral.
GGAAGGAUCAUUACAGAAUUGUCAACGGGUUGUUGCUGGUCCUCGAACGGGGACAUGUGCACGCUCUGUUUACACAUCCACUCACACCUGUGCACCCUCCGUAGUUCUGUGGUCUGGGGGACCCCUGUCCUCCUGCCGUGGUUCUAUGUCUUUACACACACACUGUAAUAAAGUAUUAUGGAAUGCAUGCCGCGUCUAACGCAAUACAAUACAACUUUCAGCAACGGAUCUCUUGGCUCUCGCAUCGAUGAAUAACGCAGCGAAAUGCGAUAAGUAAUGUGAAUUGCAGAAUUCAGUGAAUCAUCGAAUCUUUGAACGCACCUUGCGCCCCUUGGCUAUUCCGAGGGGCAUGCCUGUUUGAGUAUCAUGAACACCUCAACUCUCACGGUUCGCCGUGAUGAGCUUGGACUCUGGGGGUUUUGCUGGCCUGCGGUCGGCUCCCCUCAAAUGAAUCAGCCUCCCAGUGUUUGGUGGCAUCACGGGUGUGAUAAAUAUCUACGCUCGCAGUUGUCCGCCAGGUAACCUUUGGUGACAAAGGUUCGCUGGAGCUCACAGAUGUCUCUCCUCAGCGAGGACAGCUUUUUGAACGUUCGAUCUCAAAUCAGGUAGGACUACCCGCUGAACUUAAGCAUAUCAAUAAGCGGAGGAAAA